This is an RNA transcript of Myripristis murdjan (pinecone soldierfish), 1852 nucleotides long. It is a transcript of the gene named transmembrane protein 79b, with no coding region annotated. NCBI's taxonomy places the organism in Eukaryota, Metazoa, Chordata, Actinopteri, Holocentriformes, Holocentridae. The record is from RefSeq and is a predicted model, not a curated record. The transcript is spliced from 6 exons.
CCUACUGGAAUAUGUGGCUUGGACGCUUCCCCUUUAAGAGAAAUUAACCUUUAACUCACCUGACCGCACCUGCACUUCCGGUCCAGCGACAAACACAACAGAACCGGAGAGCUGCGCAGUGACGCUGAAUAUUUACCUGUGAGUUUCCACGACAACGAACCCAACAAAUAUCAUACAUGUCCCGGCGGGGGGAGGAGCUGACCGGGGGCCCAACAUGGAGCUCCGAGGAAGACAAGAUGAAGCUGAAAAAAUCAGAGGAGGAGGAGAACAUGGUGAAGUCAGCCUGGAUGGAGCCCAGCACCUUGCAGUGGCCUGGAGACAGGCAGACAGACAGGCAGACAGACAGGCAGCUGGACAACAGAGGGAGCGUGGGAGGAGAGGAGAGGAAGGAGGAGCAGGGCGAGGGAGAGAGGAGGAGUGUCCGGUCAGAAUGCAUUUCAUUCCAAGGCGCAGAGAGUCAGACGGAGAGCGAGAGAGAGCUGCUGGCAGGAGGAGGGGGGAGGAGAACAGGGGGGGAGGAGGAGGAGAGGAAGGAGUUGGAGCUGAGGAGAGGAGGUCAGGAGGAGGGAGGGCAGGAGAACUUCCUUCCAGAGAAAGCAGCUCAGGUCUUCAGCCCGGCGGUGACCGUCCUGCAGCCGGCUUCUCCCCGGGACACUGAGGCAUUCUGGGAAAUGGAGUCCGAGAAGAGCCCCUUCCUGGGGCCCGGCGGCAUCCAGGACGAGUUCCACUACCAGCAGGAGCCAAAAUGUGGGUGUGUCUGUCCCAGCAGGGAUGGAUUGAAGGUGGGUGUGUCUCUGUUCACAUCGGCGCUCUUCUUCCCCUUCCUGGUUUGGGGCGGCUUCGUCUUCCUGCCAUUUGACGCUCCUCUGCUAGACAGCGCCCCCCUCAGGCUGGUCUACACCCUGCGCUGUUCUGUGUUUGCUGCCGUGCCCAUUGUCCUCGGGUGGCUGGUGCUGGGCGUCAGUCGGCUGAGGACGGGGGAGCUCCGCCCCCUGGAGGAGGGGCUGACGGCGGCGGCUCGGGAGGCGAACGUCCACAGGCGCUUUGUGGCCGACUCCACCUCCCUCUUCUUGAUCUACUUCCUGCAGCUGGUCGUCAUGGCGAUGUACCUGAGCCAGGAGCAGCUGAAGCUGAUUCCCCUGCUGACCAUCGUCUUCGCCCUCGGACGGCUGCUGUACUGGCUGGCGGCCGUCCUGAGCAGCAGCGUGCGAGGCUUCGGGUUCGGCCUCUCCUUCCUGCCCAGCCUCGUCAUGCUGGCAGCAAACAUCUACUUCAUCUUUACUGUGGAGGCCGCAGGCUCCAUCUACGCCGCCGCCACGCCCCCGGAGCCGCCGCCGCCGCCUCCUCCUGCCAGACAGAGGUUCUGGGGUUAGAGGAGGAGGAGGAGGAGGAAGAGGAGGAGGGGGCGGCCAGACUGAAGGACAAGUGCUGAAGAGGAACUUUUGUUCCUGUAAACGGAGACAGAUAGAGAUGUUUUCCUGAAAUGCUUUUCUAGGUGGUUGCUGUUCUACAUGUAGAAGUAAAACGACACAGAAACAAAAGACAAAAAGGUCCUGACCGCAACAUGAGCCAGCUGAACUGGUCUGACUGGUUCGACAGGAAACACCCGGAACUUCAUCAAGUUUCCAAUCAGACGAGAGGAAGUGAGACCAUUUGGCCUUCAAAAUAAAAGCCUAUAGAGAUGGAAAAAGAAGAGAAACAAUUCAAAAUAGUUUAUACAGUUAAGAGCUGAUGCAUUCCAUGUGAAAGUAUGAUUUAUAUGUUAAUAAAUAGUGUGAAAACGUCUUUGCUCUUAGGAUUAUAAAUGCCCUUGCAAUAUUGGACUUUAUUUUAUUUUUAUCCUUUAAUUUUA